AGUGAACGCUGGCGGUAGGCCUAACACAUGCAAGUCGAACGGCAGCACAGUAAGAGCUUGCUCUUACGGGUGGCGAGUGGCGGACGGGUGAGGAAUACAUCGGAAUCUACUUUUUCGUGGGGGAUAACGUAGGGAAACUUACGCUAAUACAGCAUACGACCUACGGGUGAAAGCAGGGGAUCUUCGGACCUUGCGCGAUUGAAUGAGCCGAUGUCGGAUUAGCUAGUUGGCGGGGUAAAGGCCCACCAAGGCGACGAUCCGUAGCUGGUCUGAGAGGAUGAUCAACCACACUGGAACUGAGACACGGUCCAGACUCCUACGGGAGGCAGCAGGGGGGAAUAUUGGACAAUGGGCGCAAGCCUGAUCCAGCCAUACCGCGUGGGUGAAGAAGGCCUUCGGGUUGUAAAGCCCUUUUGUUGGGAAAGAAAAGCAGCAGGUUAAUACCCCGCUGUUCUGACGGUACCCAAAGAAUAAGCACCGGCUAACUUCGUG
RNAcentral lists this ribosomal RNA (492 nucleotides) under uncultured bacterium. RNAcentral describes it as "partial 16S ribosomal RNA". It matches the Rfam family "Bacterial small subunit ribosomal RNA", at positions 29 to 507 of the family's 1533-position model. The record is from RNAcentral.